Molecule: transfer RNA, 72 nt
Filed under: Streptomyces rimosus
Lineage: Bacteria; Bacillati; Actinomycetota; Actinomycetes; Kitasatosporales; Streptomycetaceae
Description: tRNA-Lys
Rfam family: tRNA
About the family: Transfer RNA (tRNA) molecules are approximately 80 nucleotides in length. Their secondary structure includes four short double-helical elements and three loops (D, anti-codon, and T loops). Further hydrogen bonds mediate the characteristic L-shaped molecular structure. tRNAs have two regions of fundamental functional importance: the anti-codon, which is responsible for specific mRNA codon recognition, and the 3' end, to which the tRNAs corresponding amino acid is attached (by aminoacyl-tRNA synthetases). tRNAs cope with the degeneracy of the genetic code in two manners: having more than one tRNA (with a specific anti-codon) for a particular amino acid; and 'wobble' base-pairing, i.e. permitting non-standard base-pairing at the 3rd anti-codon position.
Source: RNAcentral
AGCUCAGUUGGUUAGAGCAGCUGACUCUUAAUCAGCGGGUCCGGGGUUCGAGUCCCUGGCGGCGCACGUCCA